AGCCGAAACGGUCAGAAAUGGCCGUCAGCCGGUGACCAACCACCCGGCUCUGACGAUGGCAGGUUAUU
RNAcentral lists this non-coding RNA (68 nucleotides) under Eubacterium sp. An3. The record is from RNAcentral. Lineage: Bacteria; Bacillati; Bacillota; Clostridia; Eubacteriales; Eubacteriaceae.